Non-coding RNA from Oncorhynchus kisutch (coho salmon), 74 nucleotides. NCBI's taxonomy places the organism in Eukaryota, Metazoa, Chordata, Actinopteri, Salmoniformes, Salmonidae. The record is from the annotation of a RefSeq genome assembly.
GUUUCUGUAGUGUAGUGGUUUAUCACGUUCGCUUAACACGCGAAAGGUCCCUGGUUCGAGACCGGGUGGAAACA